Molecule: small RNA, 87 nt
Filed under: Epilithonimonas lactis
Lineage: Bacteria; Pseudomonadati; Bacteroidota; Flavobacteriia; Flavobacteriales; Weeksellaceae
Description: Chryseobacterium halperniae Flavo-1 RNA
Source: RNAcentral
CACUCGCAGCCCGACUUGAACGGAAAUCCUUUUUUGCUGCUGGAAAAGCAAAGGCAAAAAGAUUGGGAGUGGAAGGCGGAAAAGCUG